Small nuclear RNA from Rhinopithecus roxellana (golden snub-nosed monkey), 102 nucleotides. The record is from Ensembl. Lineage: Eukaryota; Metazoa; Chordata; Mammalia; Primates; Cercopithecidae.
GUGUUUGCUUUGGCAGCACAUAUGCUAAAUCUAGAAUGAUAUAGAGAAGACUAACAUGACCCCGUGCAAGGAUGACACAUUUGUGAAGCGUUUCAUAUUUUU